UCAGGUGGCCGCAGAGAAUAGGCCCAAGCGACUGUUUACCAAAAACAUAGGUUUCUGCUAAGUCGCAAGACGAUGUAUAGGAGCUGACGCCUGCCCGGUGCUGGAAGGUUAAGGGGAUCUGUUAGAGCAAUCGAAGCAGUGAACUUAAGCCCCAGUAAACGGUGGCCGUAACUAUAACGGUCGUAAGGUAGCGAAAUUCCUGGUCGAGUAAGUUCCGACCCGCACGAAAGGGGUAACGAUUUGGGCACUGGCGCAACAACAGACUCGGUGAAAUUGUAAUUCCGGUGAAGAUGCCGGAUACCUGCGACAGGACGGAAAGACCCCAUGGAGCUUUACUGUAGCUUGACAUUGGGUCUUGGUACUACAUGUACAGGAUAGGU
RNAcentral lists this ribosomal RNA (380 nucleotides) under Clostridioides difficile. Its description in RNAcentral is "bacterial LSU rRNA". It matches the Rfam family "Bacterial large subunit ribosomal RNA", at positions 1769 to 2148 of the family's 2925-position model. The record is from RNAcentral. Lineage: Bacteria; Bacillati; Bacillota; Clostridia; Peptostreptococcales; Peptostreptococcaceae.